This is an RNA transcript of Phalaenopsis equestris, 943 nucleotides long. It is a transcript of the gene named oral cancer-overexpressed protein 1 homolog, with no coding region annotated. Lineage: Eukaryota; Viridiplantae; Streptophyta; Magnoliopsida; Asparagales; Orchidaceae. The transcript is spliced from 3 exons. The record is from RefSeq and is a predicted model, not a curated record.
ACCCAGAAACCAUUGCGGAAGUUCUCUACCUGCUAUUGCUGAAUCUCCCUUGUUACUGGACCCAUGGAACCUACAGCCGGAGUUCCCACCGACUUUCUUGAUUCUACUGUGCUUUUGGAACAAACCCAAUAUGAAGAGGGCUUUAGAGACGGUUAUAGAGAUGGCGUGAUCUCUGGAAAAGAAGAUGGGAAAGAGGUUGGCUUGAAGCAUGGAUUCCAAGUUGGUGAGGAAUUGGGUUUUUAUCGUGGCUGUGUGGAUGUUUGGAAAUCAGCCAUCGAGAUAGACCCGAAUUCAUUUUCUUCUCGUGUUCAGAAGAGGAUCGACCAGUUGUCGGAGCUAGUGGAGAACUAUCCCCUUUUUCAGCCGGAGAAUGAGAAUGUUCAAGAGAUGAUGGAUGCUAUUAGGCUUAAGUUUCGGAUUAUUUCAGCAAAUCUGGGUGUGAAGUUGGAGUAUGAGGGGCAUAGCAACGUAUCAAAACAGGACCUGGAGGAGGUUUAAGUUUGAAGAAAGAUCAGCUUUUGCAUCAGAGAAGACGGUGCUUUCUUUUUCUUUUUAAUACAUUCCUUUUUCAGCAAACCAAAGUGUCCCUAAAUAUUAGCUCUGAAUGUUCAACUUCCAACUGCAACAAGUGAUCAAUGACAUAUCUCUUAUGAAGAAGCGAUGGUGCACGGGUGCUUCAACAAGUUACCGACUAUAACUAAGAAGGGCACGACAAUGAGCACUUGAAGAUGGGUUGUGGGUAUGGAUGAGCCUUUGAUCAACAGGGAGAUUUGCUGUGAGAGUCAAGGUGGUUGGCAACAUACCAAGGGUGAUGACAGCACUUAGACCGGCAUAGAAAGAUGGAGAUAUUGGUGGCUAGUGCAAUCCUAACAAGCUUCCAUUGGACAUAUCUGUUUUGGACACUUUGUUUACCGAUCCACACAAUUCUUUUGUAUUUGCAUAC